GACGAACGCUGGCGGCGUGCUUAACACAUGCAAGUCGAACGGAAAGGCCCUUCUUUUGUGGGGUGCUCGAGUGGCGAACGGGUGAGUAACACGUGAGUAACCUGCCCUUGACUUUGGGAUAACUUCAGGAAACUGGGGCUAAUACCGGAUAGGAGCUCCUGCUGCAUGGUGGGGGUUGGAAAGUUUCGGCGGUUGGGGAUGGACUCGCGGCUUAUCAGCUUGUUGGUGGGGUAGUGGCUUACCAAGGCGUUGACGGGUAGCCGGCCUGAGAGGGUGAACGGCCACAUUGGGACUGAGAUACGGCCCAGACUCCUACGGGAGGCAGCAGUGGGGAAUAUUGCACAAUGGGCGGAAGCCUGAUGCAGCAACGCCGCGUGCGGGAUGACGGCCUUCGGGUUGUAAACCGCUUUCGCCUGUGACGAAGCGUGAGUGACGGUAAUGGGUAAAGAAGCACCGGCUAACUACGUG
Molecule: ribosomal RNA, 468 nt
Filed under: uncultured bacterium
Lineage: Bacteria
Description: partial 16S ribosomal RNA
Rfam family: Bacterial small subunit ribosomal RNA
Source: RNAcentral